AUUGAACGCUGGCGGCAGGCUUAACACAUGCAAGUCGAGCGAGCGGCGGACGGGUGAGUAAUGUCUGGGAAACUGCCUGAUGGAGGGGGAUAACUACUGGAAACGGUAGCUAAUACCGCAUACCAUCAGAUGUGCCCAGGUGGGAUUAGCUUGGUGGGGGGGUAACGGCUCACCAAGGCGACGAUCCCUAGCUGGUCUGAGAGGAUGACAAGCCACAAUGGAACUGAGACACGGUCCAGACUCCUACGGGAGGCAGCAGUGGGGAAUAUUGCACAAUGGGCGCAAGCCUGAUGCAGCCAUGCCGCGUGUAUGAAGAAGGCCUUCGGGUUGUAAAGUACUUUCAGCGGGGAGGCGUUACCCGCAGAAGAAGCACCGGCUAACUCCGUGCCAGCAGCAGCGGUAAUUC
Molecule: ribosomal RNA, 406 nt
Filed under: uncultured bacterium
Lineage: Bacteria
Description: partial 16S ribosomal RNA
Rfam family: Bacterial small subunit ribosomal RNA
Source: RNAcentral